RNAcentral lists this ribosomal RNA (257 nucleotides) under uncultured bacterium. RNAcentral's name for it is "partial 16S ribosomal RNA". It matches the Rfam family "Bacterial small subunit ribosomal RNA", at positions 524 to 779 of the family's 1533-position model. The record is from RNAcentral.
UACGUAGGGUGCGAGCGUUAAUCGGAAUUACUGGGCGUAAAGCGUGCGCAGGCGGUUAUGUAAGACAGGUGUGAAAUCCCAGGGCUUAACCUUGGAACUGCAUUUGUGACUGCAUAGCUAGAGUACGGUAGAGGGGGAUGGAAUUCCGCGUGUAGCAGUGAAAUGCGUAGAUAUGCGGAGGAACACCGAUGGCGAAGGCAAUCCCCUGGACCUGUACUGACGCUCAUGCACGAAAGGCGUGGGGAGCAAACAGGAUU